RNAcentral lists this ribosomal RNA (439 nucleotides) under uncultured bacterium. RNAcentral's name for it is "partial 16S ribosomal RNA". It matches the Rfam family "Bacterial small subunit ribosomal RNA", at positions 339 to 795 of the family's 1533-position model. The record is from RNAcentral.
CUACGGGUUGCACCAGUGGGGAAUCUUAGACAAUGGGCGCAAGCCUGAUCUAGCCAUGCCGCGUGAGUGACGAAGGCCUUAGGGUCGUAAAGCUCUUUCGCUGGGGAAGAUAAUGACGGUACCCAGUAAAGAAACCCCGGCUAACUCCGUGCCAGCAGCCGCGGUAAUACGGAGGGGGUUAGCGUUGUUCGGAAUUACUGGGCGUAAAGCGCGCGUAGGCGGAUCAGAAAGUUGGGGGUGAAAUCCCGGGGCUCAACCCCGGAACUGCCUUCAAAACUCCUGAUCUUGAGUUCGAGAGAGGUGAGUGGAAUUCCGAGUGUAGAGGUGAAAUUCGUAGAUAUUCGGAGGAACACCAGUGGCGAAGGCGGCUCACUGGCUCGAUACUGACGCUGAGGUGCGAAAGCGUGGGGAGCAAACAGGAUUAGAUACCCUUGUAGUC